This is a long non-coding RNA of Mus musculus (house mouse), 472 nucleotides long. RefSeq annotates it as predicted gene, 35041. The record is from RefSeq and is a predicted model, not a curated record. The transcript is spliced from 3 exons. NCBI's taxonomy places the organism in Eukaryota, Metazoa, Chordata, Mammalia, Rodentia, Muridae.
UGCAUCCUUGACAGUUACUAACAAAAGAAGAGAGGAUGCUCACGAGAAAAGAGAGCCUCACCCAUGCCUGGAAGACAGGUAUCAGCUGUCUCUAGCUGACAGAUCCUGCGAAGAUCACUCAGAAAAGAGCCAUUUCCUGGGCUGGUGAGAUGGUUGGUUCAUCAGGAAAGGCGAUCUGUCACGGGAGCCCAUCACAGCCCGAUUGGAGUGCACUUUAUCUUUUCCUCUGCCCUGUCUGCUGAGCAAACAUGCACAUUUGGCAUUUCAGCCCUGGAAAUUCUCAGACUCUCAUUGCUCUUGCCCCAGAUGGAAACUUCAGUGUCUUUGCAGAAAAAUUCCACAUUCUCCUGCAACCUAAACCCAGCUCUUUACUGAAUCCUUAGGAUAUGCUGGGCUGUUGUGUCCUCAAGAGGGUUAUGAUACUGCGCGUGGAAUGAGAGAGAUGUAUGUGAAACAAUUUGAAAACAGGAAA